This 377-nucleotide ribosomal RNA is filed under the name uncultured bacterium. Its description in RNAcentral is "bacterial SSU rRNA". It matches the Rfam family "Bacterial small subunit ribosomal RNA", at positions 523 to 898 of the family's 1533-position model. The record is from RNAcentral.
AUACGUAGGGGGCAAGCGUUGUCCGGAAUCACAGGGCGUAAAGGGUGCGUAGGCGGCCUAGCAAGUCCUGUGUGAAAUACCUCGGCUUAACCGGGGAGGGUCAUGGGAAACUGUUAGGCUCGAGUGCCGGAGAGGGCAGUGGAAUUCCAGGUGUAGCGGUGAAAUGCGUAGAUAUCUGGAGGAACAUCAGUGGCGAAGGCGACUGCCUGGACGGUAACUGACGCUGAGGCACGACAGCUGGGGGAGCAAACAGGAUUAGAUACCCUGGUAGUCCCAGCCGUAAACGAUGAGUGCUAGGUGUUGGGGGUAUCGACCCCUCCAGUGCCGUAGUAAACACAUUAAGCACUCCGCCUGGGGAGUACGGCCGCAAGGCUGAA